CAAUAGCGUAUAUUAAAGUUGUUGCGGUUAAAAAGCUCGUAGUUGGAGUUCUGCCAGGUGCCGCCUGUCCGCCCCAGUGGUGAGUACGUGGCGCGCAUUUGGCCCUUUCAAGGGGAGCGUAUCUGCACUUUAUUGUGUGGUGCGGGAUCCUUGACUUUUACUUUGAGGAAAUAGGAGUGUUCCAAGCAGGCUCUCGUCGUGCACAGCUCAGCAUGGAAUAAUAGCAUUGGACCUCGAUUCUAAGCUGUUGGUUGCCAGAAGCGAGGUAAUGAUGAAGAGGGAUAGUUGGGGGCAUUCGUAGUUAACUGUCGGAGGUGAAAUUCUUGGAUUUGUUAAAGACGGACUACUGCGAAAGCAUCUGCCAUGGAUGUUUUCAUUGA
This 380-nucleotide ribosomal RNA is filed under the name uncultured eukaryote. RNAcentral's name for it is "partial 18S ribosomal RNA". It matches the Rfam family "Eukaryotic small subunit ribosomal RNA", at positions 592 to 976 of the family's 1831-position model. The record is from RNAcentral.